This 703-nucleotide ribosomal RNA is filed under the name Paraburkholderia graminis. RNAcentral's name for it is "bacterial SSU rRNA". It matches the Rfam family "Bacterial small subunit ribosomal RNA", at positions 61 to 757 of the family's 1533-position model. Lineage: Bacteria; Pseudomonadati; Pseudomonadota; Betaproteobacteria; Burkholderiales; Burkholderiaceae. The record is from RNAcentral.
GUCGAACGGCAGCACGGGAGCAAUCCUGGUGGCGAGUGGCGAACGGGUGAGUAAUACAUCGGAACGUGUCCUGUAGUGGGGGAUAGCCCGGCGAAAGCCGGAUUAAUACCGCAUACGCUCUGCGGAGGAAAGCGGGGGAUCCUUCGGGACCUCGCGCUACAGGGGCGGCCGAUGGCAGAUUAGCUAGUUGGUGGGGUAAAGGCCUACCAAGGCGACGAUCUGUAGCUGGUCUGAGAGGACGACCAGCCACACUGGGACUGAGACACGGCCCAGACUCCUACGGGAGGCAGCAGUGGGGAAUUUUGGACAAUGGGCGCAAGCCUGAUCCAGCAAUGCCGCGUGUGUGAAGAAGGCCUUCGGGUUGUAAAGCACUUUUGUCCGGAAAGAAAACCGUCUGGCUAAUAUCCGGGCGGGAUGACGGUACCGGAAGAAUAAGCACCGGCUAACUACGUGCCAGCAGCCGCGGUAAUACGUAGGGUGCAAGCGUUAAUCGGAAUUACUGGGCGUAAAGCGUGCGCAGGCGGUUCGCUAAGACAGAUGUGAAAUCCCCGGGCUUAACCUGGGAACUGCAUUUGUGACUGGCGGGCUAGAGUAUGGCAGAGGGGGGUAGAAUUCCACGUGUAGCAGUGAAAUGCGUAGAGAUGUGGAGGAAUACCGAUGGCGAAGGCAGCCCCCUGGGCCAAUACUGACGCUCAUGCACGAA